Molecule: ribosomal RNA, 788 nt
Filed under: uncultured eukaryote
Lineage: Eukaryota
Description: SSU rRNA
Rfam family: Eukaryotic small subunit ribosomal RNA
Source: RNAcentral
UCCGGAGAGGGAGCCUGAGAGACGGCUACCACAUCUAAGGAAGGCAGCAGGCGCGUAAAUUACCCAAUCCUGACACAGGGAGGUAGUGACAAUAAAUAACAAUGCCGGGCUCAUCUGAGUCUGGCAAUUGGAAUGAGAACAAUUUAAAUCCCUUAUCGAGGAUCAAUUGGAGGGCAAGUCUGGUGCCAGCAGCCGCGGUAAUUCCAGCUCCAAUAGCGUAUAUUAAAGUUGUUGCAGUUAAAAAGCUCGUAGUUGGAUUUCUAGCGGACGCCGAUGGUCUGCUCCGCGAGGAGUCGGUACUGAUUGGUCGUCUGUUAUCCUUGGGAUGAUCGGGUCUGGCAUUCAGUUGUCGGGUUCGGGAGUCCCAUCGUUUACUGUGAAAAAAUUAGAGUGUUCAAAGCAAGCUUAGGCUCUGAAUAUAUUUGCAUGGAAUAAUAAGAUAGGACCUUGGUGGUCUAUUUUGUUGGUUUGCACGCCGAGGUAAUGAUUAAUAGGGAUAGUUGGGGGUAUUCGUAUUCAAUUGUCAGAGUGAAAUUCUUGGAUUUAUGGAGACGACUACUGCGAAAGCAUUUACCAAGGAUGUUUUCAUUAUCAGACGAAAGUUAGGGAUCGAAGAUGAUAGAUACCAUCGUAGUCUUACCAUAAACUAUGCCGACUCAGGAUCGCAGUCGUUCUAUCGACUCCGUCAGCACCGUAUGAAAAUCAAGUCUUUGGGUCCGGGGGGAGUAUGUCACAAGCUGAACCUUAAAGAAGUGACGAGCACCACAGGAUGGAGCCUGCGCUAAUGA